RNAcentral lists this ribosomal RNA (522 nucleotides) under uncultured bacterium. Its description in RNAcentral is "bacterial SSU rRNA". It matches the Rfam family "Bacterial small subunit ribosomal RNA", at positions 1 to 576 of the family's 1533-position model. The record is from RNAcentral.
UGAGUUUGAUCAUGGCUCAGAGCGAACGCUGGCGGCAUGCUUAGCACAUGCAAGUCGCACGGUCAGCAAUGGCAGUGGCGGACGGGUGAGUAACACGUAGGAAUCUAUCUCUGGGUGGGGGACAACCAUGGGAAACUAUGGCUAAUACCGCAUGAUACCUGAGGGCCAAAGGCGCGAGUCGCCUGGAGAGGAGCCUGCGUCUGAUUAGCUUGUUGGUGGGGUAAAGGCCUACCAAGGCGACGAUCAGUAGCUGGUCUGAGAGGAUGAUCAGCCACAUUGGGACUGAGACACGGCCCAAACUCCUACGGGAGGCAGCAGUGGGGAAUAUUGGACAAUGGGGGCAACCCUGAUCCAGCAAUGCCGCGUGUGUGAAGAAGGUCUUCGGAUUGUAAAGCACUUUUGGCAGGGACGAUGAUGACGGUACCUGCAGAAUAAGCCCCGGCUAACUUCGUGCCAGCAGCCGCGGUAAUACGAAGGGGGCUAGCGUUGCUCGGAAUGACUGGGCGUAAAGGGCGCGUAGCG